This 396-nucleotide ribosomal RNA is filed under the name uncultured Nostoc sp. Its description in RNAcentral is "bacterial SSU rRNA". It matches the Rfam family "Bacterial small subunit ribosomal RNA", at positions 377 to 787 of the family's 1533-position model. The record is from RNAcentral. Lineage: Bacteria; Bacillati; Cyanobacteriota; Cyanophyceae; Nostocales; Nostocaceae.
AGAUCCGCGACACAUAAUUCCAAGUGCGGGCGGGAGGAAGGCACCUGGGUUGUAAACCUCUCUCUCAGGGAAUAAAAAAAUGAAGGUACCUGAGGAAUAAGCAUCGGCUAACUCCGUGCCAGCAGCCGCGGUAAUACGGAGGAUGCAAGCGUUAUCCGGAAUGAUUGGGCGUAAAGCGUCCGCAGGUGGCACUGUAAGUCUGCUGUUAAAGAGCAAGGCUCAACCUUGUAAAGGCAGUGGAAACUACAGAGCUAGAGUACGUUCGGGGCAGAGGGAAUUCCUGGUGUAGCGGUGAAAUGCGUAGAGAUCAGGAAGAACACCGGUGGCGAAAGCGCUCUGCUAGGCCGUAACUGACACUGAGGGACGAAAGCUAGGGGGAGCGAAUGGGAUUAAUCC